This 492-nucleotide ribosomal RNA is filed under the name uncultured bacterium. Its description in RNAcentral is "partial 16S ribosomal RNA". It matches the Rfam family "Bacterial small subunit ribosomal RNA", at positions 29 to 507 of the family's 1533-position model. The record is from RNAcentral.
AGUGAACGCUGGCGGUAGGCCUAACACAUGCAAGUCGAACGGCAGCACAGUAAGCGCUUGCUCUUACGGGUGGCGAGUGGCGGACGGGUGAGGAAUACAUCGGAAUCUACUUUUUCGUGGGGGAUAACGUAGGGAAACUUACGCUAAUACCGCAUACGACCUACGGGUGAAAGCAGGGGAUCUUCGGACCUUGCGCGAUUGAAUGAGCCGAUGUCGGAUUAGCUAGUUGGCGGGGUAAAGGCCCACCAAGGCGACGAUCCGUAGCUGGUCUGAGAGGAUGAUCAGCCACACUGGAACUGAGACACGGUCCAGACUCCUACGGGAGGCAGCAGUGGGGAAUAUUGGACAAUGGGCGCAAGCCUGAUCCAGCCAUACCGCGUGGGUGAAGAAGGCCUUCGGGUUGUAAAGCCCUUUUGUUAGGAAAGAAAAGCAGCAGGUUAAUACCCCGCUGUUCUGACGGUACCCAAAGAAUAAGCACCGGCUAACUUCGUG